GGAUGUGAGGGGAUCUGGCUGCGACAUCUGUCACCCCAUUGAUCACCAGGGUUGAUUCAGCUGAUCUGGCUGACUAGGUGGGUGUCCCCUUCCUCCCUCACCGCUCCAUGUGCGUCCCUCCCGAAGCUGCGCACUCGGUCGAAGAGGAUGACCUUCCCCGAUAGAGGAAGACCGUUCUUCUGCGCUCCCCUACUAGAACCUCCAAACAAGCUCUCAAUCUUGCAUCAAAGAGUUUCAUCCAAACUUAGAACUGAAAACAUUCAAAUACAGCUUUGAGGAGUUUCUACUAUUGUU
Molecule: unclassified non-coding RNA, 294 nt
Organism: Ursus americanus (American black bear)
Lineage: Eukaryota; Metazoa; Chordata; Mammalia; Carnivora; Ursidae
Gene: 7SK
Rfam family: 7SK RNA
About the family: 7SK was discovered as an abundant small nuclear RNA in the mid-70s but a possible function has only recently been suggested.
Source: Ensembl